GACGAACGCUGGCGGCGUGCUUAACACAUGCAAGUCGAACCGUGGCGAACGGGUGAGUAACACGUGAGUAACCUGCCCUCCCCUUUGGGAUAACUCCGCGAAAUCGGGGCUAAUACUGGAUCGGGGGGGAUGGGCUCGGGGCCUAUCGGUUUGUUGGUGGGGUAGUGGCCACCAAGGGGUGACGGGUAGCCGGCCUGGGAGGGGGACCGGCCACACGGGGACUGAGGGACGGACCAGACGCCUACGGGGGGCAGCAGGGGGGAAUAUUGCACAAUGGGGGAAAGCCUGAUGCAGCGACGCCGGGGGGGGGAUGAAGGCCUUCGGGUUGGAAACCUCUUUCAGCAAGGAAGCGGUACUUGCAGAAGAAGCGCCGGCUAACUACGUGCCAGCCGCCGCGGUAAUAC
This 404-nucleotide ribosomal RNA is filed under the name uncultured bacterium. Its description in RNAcentral is "partial 16S ribosomal RNA". It matches the Rfam family "Bacterial small subunit ribosomal RNA", at positions 28 to 526 of the family's 1533-position model. The record is from RNAcentral.